GACGAACGCUGGCGGCGUGCCUAAUACAUGCAAGUAGAACGCUGAAGGAGGAGCUUGCUUCUCUGGAUGAGUUGCGAACGGGUGAGUAACGCGUAGGUAACCUGCCUGGUAGCGGGGGAUAACUAUUGGAAACGAUAGCUAAUACCGCAUAAGAGUAGAUGUUGCAUGACAUUUGCUUAAAAGGUGCAAUUGCAUCACUACCAGAUGGACCUGCGUUGUAUUAGCUAGUUGGUGAGGUAACGGCUCACCAAGGCAACGAUACAUAGCCGACCUGAGAGGGUGAUCGGCCACACUGGGACUGAGACACGGCCCAGACUCCUACGGGAGGCAGCAGUAAGGAAUCUUCGGCAAUGGACGGAAGUCUGACCGAGCAACGCCGCGUGAGUGAAGAAGGUUUUCGGAUCGUAAAGCUCUGUUGUAAGAGAAGAACGAGUGUGAGAGUGGAAAGUUCAC
RNAcentral lists this ribosomal RNA (453 nucleotides) under Streptococcus mitis. RNAcentral's name for it is "bacterial SSU rRNA". It matches the Rfam family "Bacterial small subunit ribosomal RNA", at positions 28 to 467 of the family's 1533-position model. The record is from RNAcentral. Lineage: Bacteria; Bacillati; Bacillota; Bacilli; Lactobacillales; Streptococcaceae.